This 250-nucleotide ribosomal RNA is filed under the name uncultured bacterium. RNAcentral describes it as "partial 16S ribosomal RNA". It matches the Rfam family "Bacterial small subunit ribosomal RNA", at positions 524 to 773 of the family's 1533-position model. The record is from RNAcentral.
UACGAAGGGGGCUAGCGUUGUUCGGAAUUACUGGGCGUAAAGCGCACGCAGGCGGCGCGUUAAGUCAGGGGUGAAAGGCCUGGGCUCAACCCAGGAACGGCCUUUGAUACUGGCGCGCUAGAGUCCGGAAGAGGGUAGUGGAAUUCCCAGUGUAGAGGUGAAAUUCGUAGAUAUUGGGAAGAACACCGGUGGCGAAGGCGGCUACCUGGUCCGGUACUGACGCUCAGGUGCGAAAGCGUGGGGAGCAAAC